Anolis carolinensis (green anole) is the source of this 9882-nucleotide long non-coding RNA. RefSeq lists it as uncharacterized. The transcript is spliced from 2 exons. The record is from RefSeq and is a predicted model, not a curated record. Lineage: Eukaryota; Metazoa; Chordata; Lepidosauria; Squamata; Anolidae.
UGUUUCCUGAUGAAAGAUCUACUUUGCGCCUGCUAUUUCUCCCAUGGAGAUGGGCUGCUGCAGAAAGCCCAGUCUUGCAAGCCACUAUUUAAGAGAAAUGCCCCCUAGUCUAGUAAUCCCUUUGUGGUCUGCUUUUCACUAUACUUGGAUGUCCCUUUGUUUGUGUUUGUUUCCUUUGCACACAUUUUAUGCUCUGUGCAGCAGCCCCUUUAUCGCCUAUCUCAAUAUUUAUGGAGACUGGAGGUUUUGCCAUUACAGGUUUGUUUUCAUGGUGCAUUAAAAAUCAGGCGGAGUGGUCUAUGUACAUGGUUUGUGUCUGCAACACAUGGACUUUUAUGCCUACCUCCUUCUGGCUCUCAGUUGACCAGGAUCCAAUAGUGUGGCUUAAUUGGGCAAAAUUGGGUGUGAAGAGGCAUGAUUUCCCUUCAAGCGACAAUUUGCUCUUUGUUCGUUAAACACCUCCUAUUUUGCGCUUGUCUUUGCUCUGUGGAUGUUGUCACCCAAAGCAGAGCCUGAUGUUUAGAAUCUCAUUUUUUCAAGCUGAUGCUUCAGGCUUUUGAUUAAUAGAGCAGCACCUAUGUUUAAUUAGAACUGAUAUCCAUUUCCAUUUUUCUUUUUUUUGUGUGCUUGCUUAUUCUUCCUGAAUUGUAAAUGUUGUAUAUUAUCAACAAUUGCAUGAAGUGAGUGUUGCAUUUCUUCUGCUGUUUGGCAAUGGUUACUAGUGAAUCACUCAAUUUUAAAAUUUGAAGCCCCCCCCUUUAAUAAUGUGUAGCAUGUGUUAGAGCCAACAUUUGCGGUAAUGUAGCGUCACGUACAUUAUGCACAUAAUGUAGCGUUCUUACAUUAUAAGCAGCUUAGAUACAUUGUAAAAGGUACAUAAUUGUUGGCAAGUGUUUAGGAACAGGCUAUUUGACUUCUCAAAACACUUGAUAUGAAAAAUAUCAACUAUGAAAUAGUCUUACGUGUAAACAGGUGACUAUGAGAGUGGCAUUGAGCAUAGUUGAUUUCAUUUUCACAUUGAAAUCUUCCACUUGCAGGCAUGACGUUGACAUUCAUAUAUUUCAGAACAAGUUAACUGUAGUUAGUAACUCACCAAUUAUAGCAAUUUUCAUAAAGUUCCAAUCAUUGCUGAUUUUCUGAAAAUGAAACUCCAUGCAGCUUUCCACAGAUUAUGUUUUUUAUGUUUAAAAUUCACUCCACAUUCUUUAAAAAAAUCUUGCAAACAAUAUUUAUUUUCAAUUUGCUUAUAUGUGUGAGGAUAUGUUAUUUUCUGUGUUUCUUCUUUGAUAUUUAGGUUUCAGAUCAUUUCCAAAGAAAAUUGGUAAAGGAUUUUAGUUUCUUAAUUAAAACUGAAUUAAUAAUUCAUUUAAGCAAUAAUGGCCACAAUGGAAUUGUAUCUUUUGGAUAAACAUAAUGGCUAUUGAACUAUGAAUUCUCUGAACUUUUCAUCAUUUUAUCUGUGUGUUGAACCUAGACAUAGUCAUUGUCCACUUAAAUCUGUGGGACAAAUUACUUGUGACUAAAUUUAAUUCCAUUGAUUUAAGUGAAUCUGUUUAAGGCAGGAUCCAUCACAGUGACUAUCAACAUUUUAUUACAUAAUCUUACCAUGUAAUCCCUCUGCAGACAAAAGGUUUUCACCAGUGUGUGAUUUUAUCUAUGUUCCCCACAUUUCUCUUUUAUCUAGCGCUAUCCCCUAAUGACUGAAGGAGGAGGAGAAAUAUCAAAAGGAGCCCUUCCUCUCUGUUGUCACAAGCCUUUUAUCAAUAAAGGGACACUACAGUCUUUUCAAUGCCAGCUAUUAACUGUGCUACUUGUUAAGGUUAAGAUAAUGAACAAAUCUUUCUCUGCCUCCCCCCUCCCCCAUUACCUUUUCUGUUCUCAAGAAAAGAGACAUUAAAAAUCUGGUGGUUUAUCCAGUGUUUUCCCUGACCUUGGUAAAUAGAAGUAAUAGACUGUAGCUGUAGCAGGAGAAGCAAAAACUUUAAUUUGGGACACUUUGAUAAUUUACAUCUUCAAAGUCAGCUAUUUUCUCUUCAGGAAAAAAAAAUCUAAUCAGAAUCCAAACACUGAAAUACAUUUUCCUCACUGUUCACAUUAGUUGAUUUUAGGGGUUCAAAGAUAAGGAUGGUUUAUUAGUUGUCAUGGUAACAGGCCAAUUUUAGAUGCCAGUCUUGUGACAUUUAGUUAGAAAGGAAAGUGAAACAUUUUGUGGUUACUUCUAAAAGAUAAACCAUAAUAUAAUUCUCCUUAAAACCUUCCUUAAUUUGGGUAUAAAAGAUACAUUGGUGCAGGUGAGCGAGUAAAAGGAAAUAAAUGAUUUAGUAUAAAAAGAAAAGGUUUAAUGAAGGAUCAGUCAGUCAGUCUUUUCUGUUGAAAAAUUCACCUGCCAUUCAUAGUUAGAGUGUUUAGAUUUGAAAUAGAAAUAAAAAUGUAAAUCCAAUUCUUUUCUAUAUUAGUCAUGUAAACAGCUUCACAGGCCACUGAGACUAAAAACCAAAGGGAUAGUUCCAGUAAUUGAAGUCUUUCCAUCAGUGGAACUGUAGGGGGGCUACUUUUACACUCAGUUGUAGCCUCAUCUUUGAGUCCCCAGCAUUGGCCCAUAAGGUCUGGAGCCAAUGUGAAGGCACUACAGAAGGUGUUGGGCUGGGUGAGUAGGAGAGUUUUCCAUUAUAUUGGCCGUUGGCUCUAGGAGUAAGCAUUGAAGUCCAUCUUUCCUCUAAUGUAAUCAUUAUGUAAUCUGUCUUUGUUAUGUUGUACGCUGCUUUGAGUUCUUCUCUGGGACAAAAGAGGGAUAGAAAUAAAUAAAUAAUAUAAUAUAAUAUAUGCUAUUGGCAUAUUUAAAAUGUUCCUGCCUGAUUUGCUAUUUUAAACAUUUACACACCCUCCCGGAGAUACUUUUGGUUUUCUAUCAUUUCUGGAACCUGACCAACUUUGUAGCUCUAGGAUAUCCCUCUCUCUUUUGCCAGGAGAUGUCAUUCAUGAUCUGGACAGUCCAUCCUAACUCCAGAUGGAGACAGUACUCAUGCCUGCCUUCCCUCAAAAAACAGUAAGCCUUGGUUGCAUAUAGGGCGAAUCUGAAUGAAAUGAGACUUUGAAAUAAGAAAACUAAUUGAAAUUGGAGGAAAGAGAGAGCUACUCAAACAAACGUUUGACAGUUCAAUUUGAGUGGCACUUUCUUAGAAUGUUAUAACAUGUAAAUGGAGAAGCUUUCCUAAUAAACUAAGAAGCUUGUAAUCUCUGCUCUAUUUGGUAAAGAAAAUAAUGUUUCAGUGGAGUAUAACAAGAAGACACUGUAAGUGCGCACCUUAGAAUAGCUUCACCUUGCUGUAGACACCAAGCAGCACACAGAUGAAAGUCUUUUGUAGUUUAUUAAGCAAAAGCAGUAUAUAUAUAUUGUAGCAAAGCAGGCAGAAAUACAGUUUCAAUAAUAGUUGCAAAAUAGAGUCCAGAAAUCCAAAUCCAAAACCCCAUAGACAAAAACAGUAGUCCAUUCAAUGAGUUACAAAGAUCCAGGAACAGGAAUAUAUCCAGGGCAAAGACCGCACCGAAACACAGACUAAGUUCUCUGUUGAAGUGAUGAUUUGCUUUGACAAAGAGCUGCCUCUCAGCAAACUGUUUUUAAAAGCAAAUCAUGAAAGCAUUCCUUUUCCCUUCACUAGCCUUCUUAUUAGCUAAUCCAAGGCUUCGGCAUUCCUUUAAACUGUAAACGAGAAUCAAGAAAGCAAUGGGGCCUCACACUCGGCCUCAGCCUGGCAUUCAAGGUCGGUGCCUUCGUUAACGUUAUCUUGCACCUGAACCUGAGACACAUCAUCCUCAUUAUUUCCCAUGGGAACGCUUCUCUGGUUUUCAUCAGUGACAGGCUGCUUCUGGUUCUCUUCAACAACAAGCUGCAUCUCUGAACCAGACUCUGUCUGAAUCCCAUAAUUCCCCACAUAAUCAGAAUCAUCCUGAAACCCAUCUUGAAUCCCAAAAUCCUCAUCAUCGUCGUCCCCUUCGCUCUGAGGUUGUUGCUGAGUCACAACAGUAAGGGACUGGAAUAUGGUUAGAAUCAUAAAACUGAAAAGGACUGGAAGGGCUGUUUAAUCUAUUGUUUUGCCAUAUAGGAAUACACAACUAACACACUUCUGACAUAUGACCAUUCAAUUUCUGUUUAAAGACCUCAAAUGAAAGAGUCCAUCACUUUGAAGGCAGUCCAUUGUACUGAUUUUACCGUCAGUACAUUCUUCCUAAUGUUGAGAACCACUGGCCUAGAUGAAAUCUCUCUUACUGUAAUUUGAACCCAUUGGUUUGCAUUCUAGUUUCUGAGGCAGUUGAAAGCAGGCUUGCUCCAUCUCCUUACAUGAUGACCCAUGAUGACAAGAUGACUAUCAUGUCACCUCACUCUGAGUUAAACAAACCCAGCUCCCCAAGCUUUUCCUUGUAGUAUUUGAAUGACUGUGUAGUCAUAGCAGCUGUCGAGAUAUGCAAUUACUCAAUAGAUAAGAAUGAAUAUCUAAAUAGAUGUUAUUAAGAUGGUUAUUGAUAAGAUGCAAGGGACAGACCCUGGAUUUGUAAUUUUUUUGGGGAAAUAGCAGGCACCAUAGGGAAUUAAGAAAAGUGUUGAGAGCCUGAUGAUUAUGAUGGGAAAAAGACUGUGUCUUAUUAAUACAUGUACAGACAGUCCCCAAGUGACGAACAAGACAGGUUCUGUAGGUUUCUUCUUAAGAUGAAUUUGUAAGAUGGAACAGGUACAUUGUUAAGUGUAACUCCAGCCAUAUAUAUAUAUAUACACACACACACACAUACAGUAGAGUCAGAGCCGGCCCUAGGUAUUUUUCAAACAGAAUUUUGGCGCCCCCCCCCCCAAACCAAUCACUGAAAAAUAAAAGCAUUGGAUAAGCAAAAAUGUUGGAUAAUAAGGAAGGAUAAAGGAAAAGCCUAUUAAACAUCAAAUUACAUUAUGAUUUUACAAAUUAAGCACCAAAACAUCAUGUUUUACAACAAAUCAAUAGAAAAAGCAGUUCAAUACAUGGUAAUGUUAUGUAGGAAUUACUAUAUUUGCGAAUUUAGCACUAAACAUUGAACAAGGAUAUAGGGCAGUGUGGACUUAGAUAACCCAGAUAGCCCUCAGUAUUAAAAAAAACUCUAAAAUCAGGACAAUAAAUAAAGAACAACACUCUGAAAGCAGAAGAAAUCCAGACAGUAAACAAUCAGGGACAGCUAACUCCUCCCAAAAAAAGAUUCUCCCAGGCAAGAAGAAGCCAGGCCUUGAAGCCACAGGGCCAUUAAAUGCUAAUCAAGGUGAUUAAUUACAACAUUCACACCUGCUUCAAAGAAAAGUUCUUUCUCCCACCCUGGAUCUUUUACAGAUAUAUAAACCCCACAUACCUAGCUUUCAACUUCCCACAGACCUCACAAUCUCUGAAGGCCCCAAAGGUGGGCUCACGUGGUGCGAAGGUGGGUCCAUGCUGGCCGGAAGGCCCAUUGCGGGCACCGGGAGGCCCAGCACGGAAGGCCCGAAAGAGAAGGAGGUGGAGAAUGGUGCCCCUCCUCCCAGGACGAUGGCGCCCCCGGGAUGAUGGCGCCACAGGCAAGUGCCUAGUUCACCUUAUGGUUGGACCGCCUCUGAGUAGAGUCUCACUUAUCCAACAUAAAUGGGCCAGCAGAAUGUUGGAUAAGUGAAUAUGUUGGAUAAUAAGGAGAGAUUAAAAAAAGCCUAUUAAACAUCAAAAUAGGUUAUGAUUUUACAAAUUAAGCACCAAAACAUCAUGUUAUACAACAAAUUUGACAGAAAAAGUAGUUCAUUACACAUUAAUGCUAUGUAGUAAUUACUGUAUUUACGAAUUUAGCACCAAAAUAUCAUGAUAUAUUGAAAACAUUGACUACAAAAAUGCGUUGGAUAAUCCAGAAUGUUGGAUAAGUGAGACUCUAUUGUAUAUGCUUUGUAUAGCAUAGGGAAGUGUUAACAUCCCUGUGGUGUUUAUUUGGCUGUCUGUGUCCCUGUUCAGAAGAUUUCACCUCACUUUCUGUUCCCGUGAUAAUUGGAUUUUGAAAAAAAAAUGACUUGUUGUGGAAACAAGGUUUGGUGAUAAAGCUUCAGUUGAGACACCUUUUCACAUGAUAACUUUUUCAGGAGUCAAUUUCCCUUACUAGUGGUAGAUUUAUCUCAAUUUCUGUUGUGUCACCUCUGUCGUUUGUAAGUCGGAUGUUUGUAACUUGCGGACUACCUAUACUAAUCAUUAUCAACCCUGUUAAACAGCCUAAUAAAGAAAUAGGGUUCAGUCCCCAUGAGAGUCCUUUUGAAUCUUCUGAGGCAAUGUUAUAUACUGUAAUCGAACAGUAUCGGUCCUGAAGUUUUAUUUUUUAGGUGAAUGUGUGUGUAAUAGGUACAUUUUUAAAAAUGUCACUCCAGUCAAAAAUACUUUGUUUAGUUUGGAUAGCACAGGGAAAGGUUAACACCCCUGAAAUGUUUGUUUUGCGGCCUGUGCUCCUGUGCAGAUUUCUCCUCACUUUCUGUUCCUGUGACAAUUGGAUUUUGGAAAUUUGGGGUUGUCAUGGAAACAAGGAUUACUAAUAAAGCUUCAAUGGAAACACCUUUUUCCCCAUGAUAACUCUUACAGGAGUGAAUUUCUCUUUCUAGGAAUAGAUCUCCUCUCACCUUCUGUCAUCUCACUCCCUGUUUGUAACAGUCGUAUGUAAAUUUGUAACUCAGCCACUGCCUGUAUAAUGCUUUCCAUGCAAUGGACUGAAAUGUAAUGAAACUUAAACACCAGAUAUUGAUAUACCUGUUGUUCCUUUAGGUAAAUUUGUAAGUUUUAAUAUCUAUAAUAUCAGUAAUAAGUAGCCUACAUAGAACAUAUAGAGACCACGCAUUUCCCUUUUAAAUAUCUUGAGAUUUCAAUACUUAAGGCUGCUUAAGUGGGAUGCUGGUUAACACAGCCACCAUUAUGCAUACUGGUGGGGGCUCACGUGGUAAUUUGUAUUUCCCUGCUAGAUCUAUAUAGAUCUGGGGUAUAUCGGGAGACACGGUGCUCCAGGUAGGCUGGACCAAAACCGUAUAGGGCAGUGUAGAUCUAGCCUAUUAGAGAGAAAGGGAGAAACUAUAUCUGUUUCACUGGGAAUAAAUCCCACUGAAAUUCAGUUAUACCAUACUAGCAGUUUUUCAUCACAUAACAUAGCAUUUUUUUUAUUGGAAAAUAUAUAUUUACAUGUAACCUGAUGAUAUGUAACAAGUAAGUUCCAAGCUGUUCCAUAUGCUUUUAGUUAAUUUUCCAGUGCAGUCUUUAUCACUUUCUACGUUUAGACUUUUAGACUUAUUUAUUUAUUUAAUUAUUUACAGCAUUUAUAUUCUGCCCUUCUCACCCCGAAGGGGACUCGGGGCGGAUCACAUUACACAUAUAGGCAAACAUUCAAUGCCUUUUAACAUAGAACAAAGACAAACAAACAUAGUCUUCGAGCGGGCCUCGAACUCAUGACCUCCUGGUCAGAGUGAUUCAUUGCAGUGAUUGAUUGCAGCUGCUCUCCAGCCUGCGCCACAGCCCGAGCCCAAUAAUUAGAACAGAGGACAUCUUGUUGAAGAGCUUGCUUUGGUCUCCAGGACUAGCAUUUAUUAGAUAAAUAUGAUCCUAAUCCUAACCCUUCGGUUGAGAGAUCUGCAAAUUCUCCCAGUUGUUCUGUUGUCUUUUCCAGCGAAGCUGUCUUUUCAGCCAAGAAGCAUUUAUAACCUUGGCCUCAAAAUGUUUGUUCUUUAAGUUGGAGGAGAAAUAGUGUGGGAUGUAUGAGGUUUUCUGCAAUCCCAGGAGGUUGGGCUUCUUUAGAAAGAUCGUUAAUCUCAGUAGCUCAAGUGUCAGUGCAAAUAUGUAGAACAUUUCAGUACACUGUAGUUUCUAUAGUAACUAUCUUAUUUUUUUUCUUUCCAAAAAAAGUCUAGUAGAUGCUUAUUGUGCCUGAGCUUUAGGAGGAAUGAUUGGAUAUAAUGAAUGUAAAAGCAUGCUGUUGAGCUAUGUACAAGCUAAGAGGUAAAAUAAUCACUUCAGAUGGAAGCUGUUCCUCCUUGCCCCCCCCUUCAAUAGAAUUAGAAUAAGCAAACUACUUAACAUUGCAAAUGAUUCAAAAGAGCUCUUUCCCUCCACACAGACUAUUGUUAAGUUGAAGGCCAUUUGUCCCAGAUGUGUAAGUUCUUGAUAAGUUCAAAUUGGAACUUUACUAAUUAAGUAGUGCUGUACAAACAUUGGCAGCUUUGCUUGUUACUACUAUAGUUAGUAAAAUAAUAGCAAAAUCUAAAUAGUCCAUCACUUGCCUAUUAUAUAUGCCUUGUUAGAAAUCAAAGGUUGGCAAGGGUUUGUACCCUUGGCUGAACCCAAGAAGCAGUGUAAAAGUCUCUUUUUUGUUUUUUAUUGGAGAGCUUUUCAGCUUAUUUAUGAUUUUGAUGAUGAUGCUGGUAGACAGUAAUCAGAUUCUUCUGAGCAUUCUUUGUGUGAAACCACAGUGUAAGAGAGAGACAAGAGCAAACAUGAACUUCCCCCACCGUGUUUACAUACACUUCAUUGCUCAGGUAAGUGACAGCUUAAGUUUGCCAGCAUUUGUGAACCAAAUCUUGAUUUUAUCAUGCAUGUGUCAGUGAAAUGAAACACAAAAAUAAAAUUCAGAUUUGUUAUCUGAAAGCCAGUGGUUUUCAGGCUGACAGGGGAAAUCAGCAGUCUUGUCCCCUAUUUCCCACAGUGUGCCAGAGACAAUUCCAUCUGUAGUUGUGGCAUUGAAUGUUUGCCAUUUAUAUGUAUGUUAACCACCUUGAGUCCCUCUGGGGAGAGAGGACGGCCCAGAAAUAAAUUUGUUGUUGUUGUUGUUGUUGUUGUUGUUAUCUUUGUUGCCAUUGGCUUGUAUUGUUUCUUUCAUGGAAGCACUUUGAGGGAAUGGCAACAGAUGGUUUAGAUGGUUCAGGGACUGGCACUGCUCCACAGAACACCACUGAUUUAAGUGCCAUUUACUGAAACAGCAUGUUCUAUUCAGAGUGAGAAAUGUAAUUGUAAAUUUUCAUAUAUUAUUUUUGAUAUUAACAGAUAAUUCAUUUGAUUUGAGUAACAAUUGUACAGUUAGUAUUUUGUUCCCAUGAUGUAUUGCUUUUAACAUGCAUUUUAAGACAGCUUUGGGAAUCUGUACUGAAAUGGGAGAAAGAAGUAUUUUGAUUUUUAAAGAGUCUAUAUCUCACAUUUGCUAUAGUCUUGUCAGUCAAUUUUUCAGACCAUUUUUCAAGAUUAUGUAAAAAACUGUCUUAAAAUUCAGUUAUGGGGUAUUUAAUAGAUCAAUGGUUCGCAUCUUAAAUCUCUAGAUCAGAGCUUUCCAAACAUUUCAUGUUGGUAACAUACUUUUGAGACAUGGAUUAUUUUGUGACACAGCCAUUCAGUUUUGCUAGCAAACCAGAGGUUAAACCAAUCCCUUGUAAGACAUACAGACACAUAUAUAAAUUGUAAUAAUUGUAAUAAAAACAUAUUUCAUGGAAAUUGUUCAUUUAUAUUUAAAAAAUAUUUAUUGCUUAUUUCACAUAGAUGCAUAAUAUUUGUGCAACACACCUGCACACUGCAGCCAACACACGAAUGUGUCAUGACACACAGUUUGGCAAGCUGUGCCUUAGAUGUGCACCUAUCAUUCCAGAAGACUGCGUGCAUUGACUAGGGAUUAUUGGAAUUGUAAUCCAGUGCACAAGUUUAGUGGGUUUAAGAAAGGAGACCAGUAACAUUUGAACUGGUCUUUUGUCUAAAAUUCACAAAAAGCUGGAACUAUCCAGUAAUUGCUGUGUUCUCAGUGGGGUGCGGUGAAGAAGAAAAUCUGGGGCAGGAUGCAUUUUGCUGAAGGGUUGAGAACUUUCAUAAUCACAUGUAUUAAUAUUAAAGUAUUGAAUAUCUA